This 3108-nucleotide long non-coding RNA is filed under the name Equus asinus (donkey). RNAcentral's name for it is "lncRNA (ENSEASG00005027277.1)". Lineage: Eukaryota; Metazoa; Chordata; Mammalia; Perissodactyla; Equidae. The record is from RNAcentral.
GCAGGCGGCGGGCAUACAGAGUCCCCUUCGCGCACCCCGCCCAAGCCCCCCCGGAAUUCGAGGCCCAAACCCCGCCGGCUGCCGCCCCUCCGUGCCGGGGCGUCCCUCCUGCCGACCCCGUUUCUCCCCGGAGAACUAUUUUUAGCUUCCUGACGCGGCAGCUCGGCUUUGCAGCCACCAAGCCCGAGGCAGCCAGGCGCGCCAUCCCAGGGAGCGACAGGGAUCGGCUAGGGGGCUGCGGUCUGGAGGAGGGGCCCUUGUCAAGAACCUCAAAAGCUGAAUCCUUUCCCCAGAGGACAUCAUUGAGGAUCACUUGGGCCAGAGAAGCGUCACCGCAGCGGGCGAUCCAGGCCCAAGCCCCUCACCCACCCGGGAGGAGCCCGGCGGUGUAAACAGGCCUAGGGGUCCCCACUGGGAUUGGAGAGCCAAGCAUCAGCGGGGCGUGUCCCCCGCCGUCCCCACUGGCUUAGCCGGAGGAUGCAAACGCGCCUGGGAGUUUUCACUUCAAUGGAGGCAAACGGGGAUGCGUGUGUCAGUGUGUGUGCGAUAUACAUAUCACGGGCAAGUGUCUGACCUGAAAGUGUCCGCGACCAACUUGAAUUAAAUCCCUGGGGGUUGUUUGCAGAGACCCGGAGGAGGAAGUUGCCAAGGCCGACUUGGUGACCUGACUUGGUAGGGCCAAAGUUAGAAAAAACCAAACCCCUGUAGGACGUUGAGGCGGUCCAGGUCCAGGCUGCAGAGUGCCCACGCUCACAUCUGCCCCCACCUGGGGGGCAGGGAGCGGGGCCCAAGUGUCCCGGGAAAAGGCGGGAGCAGGGGGCGCAGGCUUAGAUGCGCGGGUUUCGGGCCGGCAGCUCGGCGCGCGUGGCGGUGGUGCGCGCCUCCGCCCUGCGCGGUCCCCGGGCAGCCCUAGCUGGGUCCUGAGCGUCCGGAGCGUGUUCCGGGAAGGUGACUCAGCGACGCGCUCAAGGGUCGAGAAACCCCGCGAAACUAGGGACAAGAGGAGGGAGCUGGGGUGUCGUCACCCUCUCGCAGCGCUGCGUGUCCGCCGAGGUCUGGUCUUGAACCUCCGGGUCCCCCACCCCCUAGGAACCCGGCGCGGGGAGCGGAGGGCUGUGUUCAGCCGCAGUGCUGUGGUCACGCGACGCGGGGACGCGAGCGGCGGCGGGAGACGGAGGCUCGGUGCGGCAGCCGGGCUCCAGAUCCCACCCCUCCUCUCUUUCCCUAUCCUCCAGCGAGAAGUCUGGGCUUUGGCUCCUAGAAGACGGGGGACGUGGAGCAGUGCUCUCCGAAAUCUCAGGUUUGGGGGGAGGUGGCUGCGGAGACGGCCAAGGCAGCUUCCUCCUUCUUCUCCCCCGCUCAGGAGGGACCCUUCCAUCAGGCCUGAAAAGCUGCCGUCUUAAACCUUGGAGUCUGAUGGGAAACUGAGGCACAGGGAAGGGAACGCCUGGCUGUGCAUGAGUCCGUGGUGAGAAAGCUCGCCUGCCACAGGAUCCCUGUCUUCCUUCCUGCGCUGCAGGCUAGAGCCCCUGGAGUCGCGGGGGGCGGAGUUGACCAAAAGCCAAGCGGGCAUGGGGAGGCGGGGCAGCCUGCUGGGUUCUUUAUCCUGUCACCUCCGGGGGACCCAACUCCCCUCCCGACUCAGGCGAGCCCAGUGGGAGGGAGGGGAAGGGCAAAGCCCUCUGGCCCUGGUUCCAGUGCGCACAAUGGCUCCUCUGUGCUCCCUGCCGCCUCUCCCUCGGCCCCCCUCACCUCCACGGCCUCUGCUCUGCCCCCUCAUUCUUGUCAUUCACCUCCCACCUCCCAGGCUGCCUCUCUGCAGGCCCAUACCGCCUCCCAGGCCCUGUCUAAAGAACUUUCUCUCCUCUCCAGAAACUCACCCAUCAGUGUCCCUAGCCCAAGAGACAGAAUUGGGCAAGAGCAAGAUGCUCUUCCUCUUUCAACGAUUGGGGAAACUGAAACCCUGAGAGGUGAAAGGUCUUCCCCAAGCUGCCAAACCAGUUCCCAACAGAGAAGCAACUCCAGGGGUCCUGACCCCCAGCCUGGAAGGCUGAGCCUACCCCCGGCUGACAGCUGCUGUUGGCCUGAUGGGUUGCUUGCCACAGAGCGACCCCAGUAACCCAACGUCUCAGAAAAAGUCUCCCCGAGAAAGAGGAAGCAUCUUGAAGCCUUCUCCAGGCUUUGUCCCCCAAGUCCUGAUUAAGCAACUAGCUGCUGUGCCCAGAGAGGCCUACUGUGGGCCUGGGAUCAGGCUUGACCUGACGGGGUGGCCAACCCAGAGCAGGUAAUGCCUGUCUCACAGUGGCAAGAGUCAGCCUCUGCCUCUGCCCAGCCACCGGCUUCCUCCUUUUGGGCAGCCUUCCCAGGGAGACACACCUGAGAACCCGGGGUUUUUUCUUCUUCAGAGAAUGAAAGCAUGCAUUCACCGGGCCUGGCCCCAGCUCUCUGGAAACUUGGAGCCAAGGCCACCAGACGGCAAAUGACUUGUUUUUAUUGGGAGACGAUGCCUGCCAUCUCACCCGUCCCUGAAGCUACCUUCCUGGGAGGUUUCGGCUCCGAAGGGACCCUGUGAUUACAUUGGGCCCACCUGGAAAACCCAGGAUACUCUCCCCAUCUCAAGAGCCUUAACUUAAUUGCACCUGCAAAAUCCCUUCUGUCAUAUAAAGUGACAUAUUCACAGGCUCCAGGGAUGGUGACGUGGACAUCUUUGGGGGGCCAUUAUUCUGCCAACCACAGAUGGGUAGGGAAAUAGUCUGGGAACUGUGUCCUCAGCUACAGAACCUUCUUUCUAAUAUUCCCCACCUCCCCGGCACCACCAAGUGAACACAAACCAGGAAGUUGCUUUCCCCCAAAGAAGCAUUUGUCGUGUGGGACUGAAAACACUCUUGCUUGGAUUGACCUGUGGUUCUAUAGACUUCAUGGCCUUUGGCUCUUUGGGCAGAGGUCCCUAUAAAGAAAAUUGGUUUCCAUUUUUAAAAAUUACCCAAGAGGGAGAAAAUGGCAUCUUUGCUAACGUGGUAAUUAUAGGAUUGCAAAACCCCAACUUUUCGCCUGAGGAAAGGUGGGAAGCAGACCAGCCCAUCCGUUUUCCCAUUUUCAGCCUGGCAG